ACUCAAAGGAAUUGACGGGGGCCCGCACAAGCGGCGGAGCAUGUGGCUUAAUUCGACGCAACGCGAAGAACCUUACCAAGGCUUGACAUGUGCGGAAAUCUUCCAGAGAUGGGAGGUCCUUCGGGGUCGCACACAGGUGGUGCAUGGUUGUCGUCAGCUCGUGUCGUGAGAUGUUGGGUUAAGUCCCGCAACGAGCGCAACCCUCGUCCGAUGUUGCCAGCGGGUCAUGCCGGGGACUCAUCGGAGACUGCCGGGGUCAACUCGGAGGAAGGUGGGGAUGACGUCAAAUCAUCAUGCCCCUUAUGUCUUGGGCUGCACACAUGCUACAAUGGCCGGUACAAAGGGCUGCUAAGCCGUGAGGUGGAGCGAAUCCCAAAAAGCCGGUCUCAGUUCGGAUCGGGGUCUGCAACUCGACCCCGUGAAGUCGGAGUCGCUAGUAAUCGCAGAUCAGCAACGCUGCGGUGAAUACGUUCCCGGGCCUUGUACACACCGCCCGU
This 497-nucleotide ribosomal RNA is filed under the name uncultured bacterium. RNAcentral's name for it is "partial 16S ribosomal RNA". It matches the Rfam family "Bacterial small subunit ribosomal RNA", at positions 899 to 1397 of the family's 1533-position model. The record is from RNAcentral.